AAUAUUGGUCAAUGGACGCAAGUCUGAACCAGCCACGUCGCGUGAAGGAAGACGGCCCUACGGGUUGUAAAGCACUUUUGUCAGGGAAGAAAAGGUUCUGGCUAAUACCCGGAACUGAUGACGGUACCUGAAGAAUAAGCACCGGCUAACUACGUGCCAGCAGCCGCGGUAAUACGUAGGGUGCAAGCGUUAAUCGGAAUUACUGGGCGUAAAGCGUGCGCAGGCGGUUCGGAAAGAAGGAUGUGAAAUCCCAGGGCUCAACCUUGGAACUGCAUUCUUAACUACCGAACUAGAGUAUGUCAGAGGGGGGUAGAAUUCCGCGUGUAGCAGUGAAAUGCGUAGAUAUGCGGAGGAAUACCGAUGGCGAAGGCAGCCCCCUGGGAUAAUACUGACGCUCAUGCACGAAAGCGUGGGUAGCAAACAGG
RNAcentral lists this ribosomal RNA (425 nucleotides) under uncultured bacterium. RNAcentral describes it as "partial 16S ribosomal RNA". It matches the Rfam family "Bacterial small subunit ribosomal RNA", at positions 360 to 776 of the family's 1533-position model. The record is from RNAcentral.